RNAcentral lists this ribosomal RNA (1424 nucleotides) under Achromobacter sp. YNUTCM YJ221. RNAcentral's name for it is "bacterial SSU rRNA". It matches the Rfam family "Bacterial small subunit ribosomal RNA". The record is from RNAcentral. Lineage: Bacteria; Pseudomonadati; Pseudomonadota; Betaproteobacteria; Burkholderiales; Alcaligenaceae.
UGCAGUCGACGGCAGCACGGACUUCGGUCUGGUGGCGAGUGGCGAACGGGUGAGUAAUGUAUCGGAACGUGCCCAGUAGCGGGGGAUAACUACGCGAAAGCGUAGCUAAUACCGCAUACGCCCUACGGGGGAAAGCAGGGGAUCGCAAGACCUUGCACUAUUGGAGCGGCCGAUAUCGGAUUAGCUAGUUGGUGGGGUAACGGCUCACCAAGGCGACGAUCCGUAGCUGGUUUGAGAGGACGACCAGCCACACUGGGACUGAGACACGGCCCAAGAACUCCUACGGGAGGCAGCAGUGGGGGAAUUUUGGACAAUGGGGGAAACCCUGAUCCAGCCAUCCCGCGUGUGCGAUGAAGGCCUUCGGGUUGUAAAGCACUUUUGGCAGGAAAAGAAACGUCAUGGGCUAAUACCCCGUGAAACUGACGGUACCUGCAGAAAUAAGCACCGGGCUAACUACGUGCCAGCAGCCGCGGUAAUACGUAGGGUGCAAGCGUUAAUCGGAAUUACUGGGCGUAAAGCGUGCGCAGGCGGUUCGGAAAGAAAGAUGUGAAAUCCCAGAGCUUAACUUUGGAACUGCAUUUUUAACUACCGAGCUAGAGUGUGUCAGAGGGAGGUGGAAUUCCGCGUGUAGCAGUGAAAUGCGUAGAUAUGCGGAGGAACACCGAUGGCGAAGGCAGCCUCCUGGGAUAACACUGACGCUCAUGCACGAAAGCGUGGGGAGCAAACAGGAUUAGAUACCCUGGUAGUCCACGCCCUAAACGAUGUCAACUAGCUGUUGGGGCCUUCGGGCCUUGGUAGCGCAGCUAACGCGUGAAGUUGACCGCCUGGGGAGUACGGUCGCAAGAUUAAAACUCAAAGGAAUUGACGGGGACCCGCACAAGCGGUGGAUGAUGUGGAUUAAUUCGAUGCAACGCGAAAAACCUUACCUACCCUUGACAUGUCUGGAAUUCCGAAGAGAUUUGGAAGUGCUCGCAAGAGAACCGGAACACAGGUGCUGCAUGGCUGUCGUCAGCUCGUGUCGUGAGAUGUUGGGUUAAGUCCCGCAACGAGCGCAACCCUUGUCAUUAGUUGCUACGAAAGGGCACUCUAAUGAGACUGCCGGUGACAAACCGGAGGAAGGUGGGGGAUGACGUCAAGUCCUCAUGGGCCCUUAUGGGUAGGGCUUCACACGUCAUACAAUGGUCGGGACAGAGGGUCGCCAACCCGCGAGGGGGAGCCAAUCCCAGAAACCCGAUCGUAGUCCGGAUCGCAGUCUGCAACUCGACUGCGUGAAGUCGGAAUCGCUAGUAAUCGCGGAUCAGCAUGUCGCGGUGAAUACGUUCCCGGGUCUUGUACACACCGCCCGUCACACCAUGGGAGUGGGUUUUACCAGAAGUAGUUAGCCUAACCGCAAGGGGGGCGAUUACCACGGUAGGAUUCAUGAC